Long non-coding RNA from Physella acuta, 786 nucleotides. RefSeq lists it as uncharacterized. The record is from RefSeq and is a predicted model, not a curated record. NCBI's taxonomy places the organism in Eukaryota, Metazoa, Mollusca, Gastropoda, Physidae.
CUAAGCUAAUGUGUUUUAGUCUGUCACGUGAUGUAAACAAACAGAUAACUCAGCAGGGUAGGUGCCGGCUGUGUGAAUGUGUUCAUUUUUUGACAGCUAAAGCCUAGAUCUAUUGGUCAAACAGUUAGAGUAUCCAAGUGUUCCUUCAGUCAUAGUUGGCGCAAACUUGAAGUCAUAAUGAAACUACAUGGUCUAGAUACAAUCCAACCUACACACAUAAUAGCUGACCCAGAACUUCAUAUCAUAAGCUUGACGAAAUUGCAAUGCCAAAAUUCGGGGUUGGACUACAGUUAUGAGCCAGGAAACCGUACUUGAGACCAUACCUGACCAUGCAAUCCUGUAAAGCUGAACCAAUAAGGAGUUGCUGUGUAGGAACUCUUCUUUGUCCUGACCACUUUGUUAUAGGAACAUUAUACUGUAUUCAAGGGUUGGACUACAGUUAUGAGCCAGGAAACCGUACUUGAGACCAUACCUGAUCAUGCAAUCCUGUAAAGCUGAACCAAUAAGGAGUUGCUGUGUAGGAACUCUUCUUUGUCCUGACCACUUUGUUAUAGGAACAUUAUACUGUAUUCAAUUAAAAGGAGAAAUAAUUUCUCUGGAGAAAUGCUGUUGAUGGCCUCUACCCCAAACACCUUCACCACCUGCCCGUCUAGAGUUCAAAGCAUUGUACAGAAAAGAGUGUGAUCUACUGAUGAACCAGUCCACAUUGAGUACAUUGUGAUUACCCUUCUAGUGUGUUGAUGUCUACCUAGUCAUUGUUUAUGACAAUUGCCAACCAUUAGGACA